This 447-nucleotide ribosomal RNA is filed under the name uncultured bacterium. RNAcentral describes it as "partial 16S ribosomal RNA". It matches the Rfam family "Bacterial small subunit ribosomal RNA", at positions 29 to 507 of the family's 1533-position model. The record is from RNAcentral.
AACGAACGCUAUCGGUAUGCUUAACACAUGCAAGUCGGACGGACUAAUUAGGGCUUGCUCCACUUAGUUAGUGGCAGACGGGUGAGUAACACGUGGGAAUCUGCCCAUCAGUACGGAAUAACUUUUAGAAAUAAAAGCUAAUACCGUAUAUUCUCUACAGCGGAAAGAUUUAUCGCUGAUGGAUGAGCCCGCGUCAGAUUAGGUAGUUGGUGAGGUAACGGCUCACCAAGCCGACGAUCUGUAGCUGGUCUGAGAGGAUGAUCAGCCACACUGGGACUGAGACACGGCCCAGACUCCUACGGGAGGCAGCAGUGGGGAAUAUUGGACAAUGGGCGAAAGCCUGAUCCAGCAAUACCGAGUGAGUGAUAAAGGCCCUAGGGUUGUAAAGCUCUUUUAGCAAGGAAGAUAAUGACGUUACUUGCAGAAAAAGCCCCGGCUAACUCCGUG